This 490-nucleotide unclassified non-coding RNA is filed under the name Hevea brasiliensis (rubber tree). Lineage: Eukaryota; Viridiplantae; Streptophyta; Magnoliopsida; Malpighiales; Euphorbiaceae. The record is from RNAcentral.
AAUGGGUUCAGGAGGAGAAAGUUAUGUUGUUCACCAUUGAGGGGCUCAUUCAAAUCGGAGGCUUUGCAGUUCCACAACUAAUCAAUUUUCAUAUAAGAAACAAGGAAGGUCAAAAACUUCUUUCAGAUUUCAAAGAUUUUAGAAGAGUGAUUAUAUGGACCCAAAGCAGGGCUUAUGUUUUGGGUUUGUCGUUCAAUUAAGAUGCUACACUAUUGCAAUCAUCAUAAUCUUCAAAUUUGAUCUUCCAUUUUGGUCUUCUACUUAUCUUUGGAUAUUGGACUUGUCAAGAAACCACUCAACCUAAAAGUUUAAGCUUGUAAAUGAAGGCUCCAACAAUAGUUCACACCCCGCGCAUGAAAACCCACUAGGCUUAAAGCGUGAACAAGCACAGGCCCCAUUUGCUUUAUACUAAAAUAUUCAACUAAUAAGUGAUUGAGUUAUUUUACAUAUCAAAAUGGCUAACCAAUUUAAUAUUGCAACCCAACUACUU